This 376-nucleotide long non-coding RNA is filed under the name Pogona vitticeps (central bearded dragon). RNAcentral's name for it is "lncRNA (ENSPVIG00000005631.1)". Lineage: Eukaryota; Metazoa; Chordata; Lepidosauria; Squamata; Agamidae. The record is from RNAcentral.
AUGAAGCUCCUUGUGGCUUCAGUUCUUCUUGUCUUUCUCGCUUGCCCAAAGGAAAGCAUUUCGGUUCCUGUUUUGGUGGUGAGUAUUAGAGAUCUUUGUGUUCGGAGACUACUGUUUGAAUUCUGCUUCAUACCUUCUUCAUGCAACAGCUAUAUCCUAAGUUCUAAGAUGAGGUACGCAGUCCUGCUGUACACCCUCCUGCCGUACACCCUCCUGCUGUACACCAUCCUGCCGUACACCAUCCUGCCGUACACCAUCCUGCCGAACACCAUCCUGCCGGACACAAUCCUGCCGGACACAAUCCUGCUGUACACAUUCACGGUGAACCACAUCACAUAAGUGUUCUAGGACAAGUGAGUAUUGUUAAUAAUGUUGC